This 242-nucleotide ribosomal RNA is filed under the name uncultured bacterium. RNAcentral's name for it is "partial 16S ribosomal RNA". It matches the Rfam family "Bacterial small subunit ribosomal RNA", at positions 15 to 248 of the family's 1533-position model. The record is from RNAcentral.
GAUCAUGGCUCAGGAUGAACGCUAGCUACAGGCUUAACACAUGCAAGUCGAGGGGCAGCAUGAACUUAGCUUGCUAAGUUUGAUGGCGACCGGCGCACGGGUGAGUAACACGUAUCCAACCUUCCCGUUACUCUGGGAUAGCCUUUCGAAAGAAAGAUUAAUACCGGAUAGUAUCGAGAGAUUGCAUGACAACCCGAUAAAGUAUUUAGUCGGUAACGGAGUGGGAGUGUCGUUCCUAUUAG